GCAAGUCGAACGGCAGCAUGACAGAGCUUGCUCUGUUGAUGGCGAGUGGCGGACGGGUGAGUAACACAUAGGAAUCUAUCCAGUAGCUGGGGAUAACUCGAAGAAAUUCGAGCUAAUACCGAAUACGCACUACGGUGGAAAGAGGGGGCUCUUCGGACCUCUCACUAUCGGGUGAGCCUAUGCCGGAUUAGCUGGUUGGUGGGGUAAUGGCCUACCAAGGCGACGAUCCGUAGCUGGUCUGAGAGGACGAUC
RNAcentral lists this ribosomal RNA (252 nucleotides) under uncultured bacterium. RNAcentral describes it as "partial 16S ribosomal RNA". It matches the Rfam family "Bacterial small subunit ribosomal RNA", at positions 57 to 305 of the family's 1533-position model. The record is from RNAcentral.